CGGGUGAGUUACGCGUGGGUUACCUACCUUGUACAGGGGGACCACCAUUGGAAACGGCUGCUAAUUCCGCAUAAGCGCACAACUUUGCCUGAAACCGUGUGAAAAGUUUUUUCGGUACAAGAUGGACCCGCGUCUGAUUAGCUAGUUGGUGAGGUAACGGCCCACCAAGGCGACGAUCAGUAGCCGACCUGAGAGGGUGACCGGCCACAUUGGGACUGAGACACGGCCCAAACUCCUACGGGAGGCAGCAGUGGGGAAUAUUGCACAAUGGGCGAAAGCCUGAUGCAGCGACGCCGCGUGAGCGAAGAAGUAUUUCGGUAUGUAAAGCUCUAUCAGCAGGGAAGAUAAUGACGGUACCUGACUAAGAAGCACCGGCUAAAUACGUGCCAGCAGCCGCGGUAAUACGUAUGGUGCAAGCGUUAUCCGGAUUUACUGGGUGUAAAGGGAGCGUAGGCGGUUUUACAAGUCUGAUGUGAAAGCCCGGGGCUCAACUCCGGUAUUGCAUUGGAAACUGUAGAACUAGAGUGUCGGAGGGGUAAGUGGAAUUCCUAGUGUAGCGGUGAAAUGCGUAGAUAUUAGGAGGAACACCAGUGGCGAAGGCGGCUUACUGGACGAUUACUGACGCUGAG
This 629-nucleotide ribosomal RNA is filed under the name Pseudobutyrivibrio sp. G71. RNAcentral describes it as "bacterial SSU rRNA". It matches the Rfam family "Bacterial small subunit ribosomal RNA", at positions 103 to 750 of the family's 1533-position model. The record is from RNAcentral. Lineage: Bacteria; Bacillati; Bacillota; Clostridia; Lachnospirales; Lachnospiraceae.